AGGUCCCACAAUCAGAAGCGUGCUAGCGACAACCAGCCCCCGCGAAGUAAUACCUAACGGUGGUCCUGCGGGGGAGAGUGGUAGAUGAAGUGUGUGUGUGGGGGGUAGUUUUUAGUACGUAUGUGCCAAGGAUGGCGAAUCAUGCAUGCUGCUAUUAAGACCCAGCAGUAUCUUUCGAAGAUUUUCUACCUCCAGCUCAC
This is a non-coding RNA of Glossina palpalis gambiensis, 200 nucleotides long. Lineage: Eukaryota; Metazoa; Arthropoda; Insecta; Diptera; Glossinidae. The record is from Rfam.